This is a long non-coding RNA of Homo sapiens (human), 933 nucleotides long. Ensembl lists it as uncharacterized. NCBI's taxonomy places the organism in Eukaryota, Metazoa, Chordata, Mammalia, Primates, Hominidae. The record is from Ensembl.
GAGCAAUAACUUAUAAGCUGAGACCUGCAGGAUGAACAGGAGUUAGGUGAAGAGGAGAACGAUGUCCAGGCAGGGGCCGGGGAAGCUCGUGCCAAGGCACUGAGGGGAAGUGCUGCAAUGAACCUCAGAGGCUGGAUCUUGCUGACUCAUCUGGGGUACCAAGGACAGACAAAGGACAUGGAGUCCAGGCCCAGGAGGCGAUACCAGGCCAGCAGUUUCACUGAUGCUCCUGUCAUGACGAUGACUGCCUCCCUCCUCCCCUUGGUCCCUGACUCAGUGUCUGCAGUGACCAGGCACCAGGCAGGGAGCAAGGAACCAAGCCUUUCACCUGCUCCCACCAACUCCUAUGGUGCUCCCUUUCCAAGGCUAGGUCUCCUCUCCACCCAGUUCCUUAUCACGUACCAUGAGAAGCUGUCACCUUGGCAACUGUCACCUUCUGGUGAGAUUUACAAUUGCACUGCUACAACUGCUUGUGGCAUGGUAAAGUUGCACCAGGACCUCUGCUGUCCAUGAGAUCAAAGUUCCAGGCCAAGGCACCAGGGGCACGAACAGUGUUGCCCGCAUGGAACUCACACUUAAUGGGAGCGGCAGCCAACAGGAUGAUACCCGGCAAAUUCUUCAAAGCAGUGUUCUCCAACUUGAAUGUUUGUGAUGUGGGCGAUUCUGACUGAGGGGGUCUGUAGACCACAUCUUGAUAAACAAUGCUUUUUAAAAAAUUCCUAGAAGAGAAUAUUUGAUUUCUGGAAGGAUAGAGAAGAAACUAAUAAGAGUGUUUACCUCCGAGGAGGAGGAGAAUUGGGAAGCUGAGAGCAGAGGAGGGAGGAAGACUUACUUUUCACCGUGUUCUUUUUUGUACCUUUUGAGUUUUGUACGACAUACUGAAUCUUUGACCCAUUUGCAAUUAUAAAUAAAGGCACAUUUAUUUGGCCGGGC